CAUGUAGGCGGAUUAAUAAGUUUGAAGUGAAAUCCUAUAGCUUAACUAUAGAACUGCUUUGAAAACUGUUAAUCUAGAAUGUGGGAGAGGUAGAUGGAAUUUCUGGUGUAGGGUAAAAUCCGUAGAGAUCAGAAGGAAUACCGAUUGCGAAGGCGAUCUACUGGAACAUUAUUGACGCUGAGAUGCGAAAGCGUGGGGAGCAAACA
RNAcentral lists this ribosomal RNA (206 nucleotides) under uncultured bacterium. RNAcentral describes it as "partial 16S ribosomal RNA". It matches the Rfam family "Bacterial small subunit ribosomal RNA", at positions 568 to 774 of the family's 1533-position model. The record is from RNAcentral.